GAUGAACGCUGGCGGCGUGCCUAACACAUGCAAGUCGAACGAAGCAAUUAAGAUGAAGUUUUCGGAUGGAAUCUUGAUUGACUGAGUGGCGGACGGGUGAGUAACGCGUGGAUAACCUGCCUCACACUGGGGGAUAACAGUUAGAAAUGACUGCUAAUACCGCAUAAGCGCACAGUGCCGCAUGGCAGUGUGUGAAAAACUCCGGUGGUGUGAGAUGGAUCCGCGUCUGAUUAGCCAGUUGGCGGGGUAACGGCCCACCAAAGCGACGAUCAGUAGCCGACCUGAGAGGGUGACCGGCCACAUUGGGACUGAGACACGGCCCAAACUCCUACGGGAGGCAGCAGUGGGGAAUAUUGCACAAUGGGCGAAAGCCUGAUGCAGCGACGCCGCGUGAGUGAAGAAGUAUUUCGGUAUGUAAAGCUCUAUCAGCAGGGAAGAAAAUGACGGUACCUGACUAAGAAGCCCCGGCUAACUACGUGCCAGCAGCCGCGGUAAUACGUAGGGGGCAAGCGUUAUCCGGAUUUACUGGGUGUAAAGGGAGCGUAGACGGCGAAGCAAGUCUGAAGUGAAAACCCAGGGCUCAACCCUGGGACUGCUUUGGAAACUGUUUUGCUAGGGUGUCGGAGAGGUAAGUGGAAUUCCUAGUGUAGCGGUGAAAUGCGUAGAUAUUAGGAGGAACACCAGUGGCGAAGGCGGCUUACUGGACGAUAACUGACGUUGAGGCUCGAAAGCGUGGGGAGCAAACAGGAUUUAGAUACCCUGUUAGUCCACGCCGUAAACGAUGAAUGCUAGGUGUUGGGGGGGGCAAAGCCCUUCGGUGCCCGCCGCAAACGCAGUAAGCAUUUCACGUGGGGAGUACGUUCGCAAGAAUGAAACUCAAGGGAAUUGACGGGGACCCGCACAAGCGGUGGAGCAUGUGGUUUAAUUCGAAGCAACGCGAAGAUCCUUACCAAGUCUUGACAUCCCCCUGACGGGCCGGUAACGCGGCCUUUCCUUCGGGACAGGGGAGACAGGUGGUGCAUGGUUGUCGUCAGCUCGUGUCGUGAGAUGUUGGGUUAAGUCCCGCAACGAGCGCAACCCUUAUCCUUAGUAGCCAGCACGUGAAGGUGGGCACUCUAGGGAGACUGCCAGGGAUAACCUGGAGGAAGGUGGGGAUGACGUCAAAUCAUCAUGCCCCUUAUGAUUUGGGCUACACACGUGCUACAAUGGCGUAAACAAAGGGAAGCGAGACAGUGACGUGGAGCAAAUCCCAAAAAUAACGUCCCAGUUCGGACUGUAGUCUGCAACCCGACUACACGAAGCUGGAAUCGCUAGUAAUCGCGAAUCAGAAUGUCGCGGUGAAUACGUUCCCGGGUCUUGUACACACCGCCCGUCACACCAUGGGAGUCAGCAACGCCCGAAGUCAGUGACCCAACCGAAAGGAGGGAGCUGCCGAA
This 1436-nucleotide ribosomal RNA is filed under the name uncultured organism. RNAcentral describes it as "16S ribosomal RNA". It matches the Rfam family "Bacterial small subunit ribosomal RNA". The record is from RNAcentral.